GUAGGGAAUAUUGCGCAAUGGACGAAAGUCUGACGCAGCGACGCCGCGUGAGUGAUGAAGGCCUUAGGGUCGUAAAGCUCUGUUGAAUGGGAAGAAAAAAAUGACGGUACCAUUCGAGGAAGGACCGGCUAACUUCGUGCCAGCAGCCGCGGUAAUACGAGGGGUCCUAGCGUUGUUCGGAAUCAUUGGGCGUAAAGGGUGUGUAGGUGGCCAUGUAAGUCAGGUGUGAAAGCCCCGGGCUCAACCCGGGAAGUGCACUUGAUACUGCGUGGCUUGAGUACCGAAGAGGGUAGUGGAAUGCCAGGUGUAGUGGUGAAAUACGUAGAUAUCUGGAGGAACACCGGUGGCGAAGGCGGCUACCUGGUCGAGUACUGACACUGAGACACGAAAGCAUGGGGAUCAAACAGGAUUAGAAACCCGGGUAGUCC
RNAcentral lists this ribosomal RNA (428 nucleotides) under uncultured bacterium. RNAcentral describes it as "partial 16S ribosomal RNA". It matches the Rfam family "Bacterial small subunit ribosomal RNA", at positions 354 to 796 of the family's 1533-position model. The record is from RNAcentral.